Long non-coding RNA from Thalassophryne amazonica, 167 nucleotides. RefSeq lists it as uncharacterized. The transcript is spliced from 3 exons. Lineage: Eukaryota; Metazoa; Chordata; Actinopteri; Batrachoidiformes; Batrachoididae. The record is from RefSeq and is a predicted model, not a curated record.
ACAAAUUAACAACUUUUCACUUUUGUCUUGUUCCUGGGUUAAAACCACAAUUUCCCAUUUCUUCACAACCAAUCAAAAGAGAAAAGAGUGGUCUUGACCUCCAAACUUUGGUUUUGUGGUCAGGACAUUGAAGUUGCAAAUUAACCAGUUCAUUCAAGAUAAGUCCA